AUUGAACGCUGGCGGCGUGCUUAACACAUGCAAGUUGAACGAACCUUCGGGUUAGUGGCGGACGGGUGAGUAACGCGUGAGAAUCUGCCCUCAGGAGGGGGAUAACGGCUGGAAACGGCCGCUAAUACCCCAUAUGCCGAGAGGUGAAAUGAAUUUCGCCUGAGGAUGAGCUCGCGUCUGAUUAGCUAGUUGGUGGGGUAAUAGCCCACCAAGGCUUCGAUCAGUAGCUGGUCUGAGAGGAUGAUCAGCCACACUGGGACUGAGACACGGCCCAGACUCCUACGGGAGGCAGCAGUGGGGAAUAUUGGACAAUGGGCGAAAGCCUGAUCCAGCAAUGCCGCGUGAGUGAUGAAGGCCUUAGGGUUGUAAAGGCUCUUUUACCUACGACGAUGAUGACGGUAGUAGGAGAAUAAGCCCCGGCUAACUCCGUGCCAGCAGCCGCGGUAAU
RNAcentral lists this ribosomal RNA (448 nucleotides) under uncultured bacterium. Its description in RNAcentral is "bacterial SSU rRNA". It matches the Rfam family "Bacterial small subunit ribosomal RNA", at positions 30 to 524 of the family's 1533-position model. The record is from RNAcentral.